Molecule: ribosomal RNA, 457 nt
Filed under: uncultured bacterium
Lineage: Bacteria
Description: partial 16S ribosomal RNA
Rfam family: Bacterial small subunit ribosomal RNA
Source: RNAcentral
CCUACGGGAGGCAGCAGUGGGGAAUAUUGCACAAUGGGGGAAACCCUGAUGCAGCGACGCCGCGUGAGUGAAGAAGUAUUUCGGUACGUAAAGCUCUAUCAGCAGGGAAGAAAAAAAGUCCUUUGGACUUUGGACGGUACCUGACCAAGAAGCCCCGGCUAACUACGUGCCAGAAGCCGCGGUAAUACGCAGGGGGCAAGCGGUAUCCGGAUUUACUGGGUGUAAAGGGAGCGUAGACGGCAGGGCAUGGCUGGAGUGAAAUGCCGGGGCCCAACCCCGGAACUGCUUUGGAAACUGUGCGGCUGGAGUGCAGGAGAGGUAAGCGGAAUGCCUAGUGUAGCGGUGAAAUGCGUAGAUAUUAGGAGGAACACCAGUGGCGAAGGCGGCUUACUGGACUGUGACUGACGUUGAGGCUCGAAAGCGUGGGGAGCAAACAGGAUUAGAUACCCGAGUAGUC